AUGCAGAGCAUGGGAACCACCUUCUACACGAGCGGGCUCGGCGUCGGGAACUUCCUCAACAGCCUGCUCGUGACGUUCGUCGACCGGGCCACCAGGGCGAGCGCCGCCAAGAGCUGGAUGGGUGAUAACCUGAAUGACUCGCACCUCGACUACUACUACGUGUUCCUGCUGCUGCUCUCCGUGGUGAACAUGGCGCUCUUUGUGUGUAACUAA
RNAcentral lists this ribosomal RNA (213 nucleotides) under Triticum aestivum (bread wheat). RNAcentral's name for it is "partial small subunit ribosomal RNA". The record is from RNAcentral. Lineage: Eukaryota; Viridiplantae; Streptophyta; Magnoliopsida; Poales; Poaceae.